RNAcentral lists this ribosomal RNA (733 nucleotides) under uncultured Chloroflexota bacterium. RNAcentral's name for it is "uncultured Chloroflexi bacterium partial 16S ribosomal RNA". It matches the Rfam family "Bacterial small subunit ribosomal RNA", at positions 1 to 741 of the family's 1533-position model. Lineage: Bacteria; Bacillati; Chloroflexota. The record is from RNAcentral.
AAUUAACCCUCACUAAAGAGAGUUUGAUCCUGGCUCAGGAUCAACGCUGGCGGCGUGCAUGAGACAUGCAAGUCGAACGGACGACAUCGGGCUUGCCUGGUGUCGUUAGUGGCGGACGGCUGAGUAACGCGUAGGUGACCUGCCCCGAAGUGGGGAAUAACUGCCCGAAAGGGUGGCUAAUACCGCAUGUGGUGAUGCGUUCAUUCGCAUCAGUAAAGCCGCAAGGSCUUCGGGAGGGGCCUGCGUCCGAUUAGCUCGUUGGUGGGGUAACGGCUCACCAAGGCGACGAUCGGUAGGUGGUCUGAGAGGACGAUCACCCAGACUGGGACUGAGACAMGGCCCAGACUCCUACGGGAGGCAGCAGUCGGGAAUUUUGCGCAAUGGACGAAAGUCUGACGCAGCAACGCCGCGUGAGGGAUGACGGCCUUCGGGUUGUAAACUCUUUUGUCAGGGACGAUGAUGACGGUACCUGACGAAUAAGCCACGGCUAACUACGUGCCAGCAGCCGCGGUAAUACGUAGGUGGCAAGCGUUGUCCSGAUUUACUGGGCGUAAAGAGCGCGCAGGCGGUCGUUCAAGUCGCGUGUGAAAGCCCCCSGCUCAACUGGGGAGGGUCACGCGAUACUGAUCGACUCGAAGGCAGGAGAGGGUAGUGGAAUUCCCSGUGUAGUGGUGAAAUGCGUAGAUAUCGGGAGGMACACCAGUGGCGAGGCGACUACCCUGGCCUGUUUCUU